AACGAACGCUGGCGGCAUGCCUAACACAUGCAAGUCGAACGAGACCUUCGGGUCUAGUGGCGCACGGGUGCGUAACGCGUGGGAAUCUGCCCUUGGGUUCGGAAUAACAGUGAGAAAUUACUGCUAAUACCGGAUGAUGUCUUCGGACCACAGAUUUAUCGCCCAAGGAUGAGCCCGCGUAGGAUUAGGUAGUUGGUGGGGUAAUGGCCUACCAAGCCGACGAUCCUUAGCUGGUCUGAGAGGAUGAUCCGCCACACUGGGACUGAGACACGGCCCAGACUCCUACGGGAGGCAGCAGUGGGGAAUAUUGGACAAUGGGCGAAAGCCUGACCCAGCAAUGCCGCGUGAGUGAUGAAGGCCUUAGGGUUGUAAAGCUCUUUUACCAGGGAUGAUAAUGACAGUACCUGGAGAAUAAGCUCCGGCUAACUCCGUGCCAGCCGCCGCCGUAA
Molecule: ribosomal RNA, 449 nt
Filed under: uncultured bacterium
Lineage: Bacteria
Description: partial 16S ribosomal RNA
Rfam family: Bacterial small subunit ribosomal RNA
Source: RNAcentral